ACACGACUACAUUAGAUACCCCCGUAGUCCAGGGUGUAAACGCUGCGGGCUUGGUGUUGGGGGUCCUUUGAGGGCGCCCAGUGCCGGAGAGAAGUUGUUAAGCCUGCUGCUUGGGGAGUACGUCCGCAAGGAUGGAAACUUAAAGGAAUUGGCGGGGGAGCACCGCAACGGGAGGUAGCGUGCGGUUCAAUUGGAUUCAACGCCGGACAACUCACCAGGAGCGACGGUUACAUGAAGGCCAGGCUGAUGACCUUGCCUGAUUUUCCG
Molecule: ribosomal RNA, 267 nt
Filed under: uncultured archaeon
Lineage: Archaea
Description: partial 16S ribosomal RNA
Rfam family: Archaeal small subunit ribosomal RNA
Source: RNAcentral